GUCUACAAGAUUAUUACUAAGUCCUGUAUUGUAGUUCGUAGUAAUGGGAAAGAAUCUGAAAUAGAUGAGGCUCUGUCAGAUUUCCUGAGACAUGCACCACACCAAGCAGGUAGAUUAAAGUACAAGAAACCUGCUCCAGCUGAUAACAUACCACCAUCUCAAGUGACUACACACCAACAGCCCUUAUAGGAGGAGACAUUUUUUUUUUUAUCUAAUAUGUUUAUAUUUGAAUGUAUAUAAAAAACUUAAUAUUCUA
This is a long non-coding RNA of Mytilus californianus (California mussel), 256 nucleotides long. RefSeq lists it as uncharacterized. The transcript is spliced from 3 exons. Lineage: Eukaryota; Metazoa; Mollusca; Bivalvia; Mytilida; Mytilidae. The record is from RefSeq and is a predicted model, not a curated record.